This 247-nucleotide ribosomal RNA is filed under the name uncultured bacterium. RNAcentral's name for it is "partial 16S ribosomal RNA". It matches the Rfam family "Bacterial small subunit ribosomal RNA", at positions 976 to 1223 of the family's 1533-position model. The record is from RNAcentral.
UACCCUUGACAUGUCCGGAACCCUGCUGAGAGGUGGGGGUGCCCGAAAGGGAAUCGGAACACAGGUGCUGCAUGGCUGUCGUCAGCUCGUGUCGUGAGAUGUUGGGUUAAGUCCCGCAACGAGCGCAACCCUUGUCCCUAGUUGCUACGCAAGGGCACUCUAGGGAGACUGCCGGUGACAAACCGGAGGAAGGGUGGGGAUGACGUCAAGUCCUCAUGGCCCUUAUGGGUAGGCUUCACACGUCAUA